This 243-nucleotide ribosomal RNA is filed under the name uncultured bacterium. RNAcentral's name for it is "partial 16S ribosomal RNA". It matches the Rfam family "Bacterial small subunit ribosomal RNA", at positions 92 to 334 of the family's 1533-position model. The record is from RNAcentral.
CGACCGGCAAACGGGUGCGGAACACGUACAGAACCUUCCUUUGAGCGGGGAAUAGCCCGGAGAAAUCCGGAUUAAUACCCCAUAGUAAAUUGAAAAGGCAUCUUUUUAAUUUUUAAAGAUUUAUCACUCGAAGAUGGCUGUGCGCCUGAUUAGGUAGUUGGCGGAGUAACGGCCCACCAAGCCUUCGAUCAGUAACUGGUGUGAGAGCACGACCAGUCACACGGGCACUGAGACACGGGCCCG